GGAAAGGUGGCCGAGAGGCCGAAGGCGCUGGUUUGCUAAGCCAGUAUACGGGGUGACCUGUAUCCGAGGGUUCGAAUCCCUCCCUUUCCGCCA
RNAcentral lists this transfer RNA (93 nucleotides) under Candidatus Moduliflexus flocculans. RNAcentral's name for it is "tRNA-Ser". It matches the Rfam family "tRNA". Rfam says of the family: Transfer RNA (tRNA) molecules are approximately 80 nucleotides in length. Lineage: Bacteria; Candidatus Moduliflexota; Candidatus Moduliflexia; Candidatus Moduliflexales; Candidatus Moduliflexaceae. The record is from RNAcentral.